Molecule: transfer RNA, 63 nt
Filed under: Urostylis flavoannulata
Lineage: Eukaryota; Metazoa; Arthropoda; Insecta; Hemiptera; Urostylididae
Description: tRNA-Asp
Source: RNAcentral
AGAAAAUUAGUUUAAAUUAAAACAAUAACUUGUCAAGUUACAGAUAUAACUUUAUAUUUUCUU